UGUGAUAGGGGGAUUCCAAGUGCUUAUACUAAGUAUAAGCUUUUGCCAAGGGUAAAAACCUUGGAGAAUAAGUGGUGGGAAAGACUGGUGCCAGCAGCCGCGGUAACCCCAGCGCCACGAGUGGCAAUCACAUUUAUUGGGCCUAAAGCGUCCGUAGCCGGUCUGAAAAAUCUUUUGUGAAAUCGUACAGCUUAACUGAACGGCGUGCAGAAGACACUAUCAGACUAGGGACCGGGAGGAGUCAGAGGUAUGCCGGGGGGAGCGGUAAAAUGCUAUAAUCCCUGGUAGACCACCUGUGGCGAAGGCGUCUGACUAGAACGGAUCUGACGGUGAGGGACGAAAGCUAGGGGAGCGAACCGGAUUAGAUACCCGAGUAGUCCUAGCUGUAAACGCUGUGAACUAGGUGUUGCACAUUCUCCGAGAAUGUGCAGUGUCGAAGCGAAGGUGUUAAGUUCACCGC
RNAcentral lists this ribosomal RNA (460 nucleotides) under uncultured archaeon. RNAcentral's name for it is "bacterial SSU rRNA". It matches the Rfam family "Archaeal small subunit ribosomal RNA", at positions 366 to 827 of the family's 1478-position model. The record is from RNAcentral.